CCUACGGGUGGCAGCAGUGAGGAAUAUUGGUCAAUGGACGAGAGUCUGAACCAGCCAUGUAGCGUGAAGGAUGACUGCCCUAUGGGUUGUAAACUUCUUUUAUAUGGGAAUAAAACGUUCCACUUGUGGGAUUUUGUAUGUACCAUAUGAAUAAGGAUCGGCUAACUCCGUGCCAGCAGCCGCGGUAAUACGGAGGAUCCGAGCGUUAUCCGGAUUUAUUGGGUUUAAAGGGAGCGUAGGUGGAUUGUUAAGUCAGUUGUGAAAGUUUGCGGCUCAACCGUAAAAUUGCAGUUGAUACUGGCAGUCUUGAGUACAGUAGAGGUGGGCGGAAUUCGUGGUGUAGCGGUGAAAUGCUUAGAUAUCACGAAGAACUCCGAUUGCGAAGGCAGUUCACUGGACUGCAACUGACACUGAGGCUCGAAAGUGUGGGUAUCAAACAGGAUUAGAUACCCUUGUAGUC
Molecule: ribosomal RNA, 460 nt
Filed under: uncultured bacterium
Lineage: Bacteria
Description: partial 16S ribosomal RNA
Rfam family: Bacterial small subunit ribosomal RNA
Source: RNAcentral